CAGUCGCCGCGGGAAUACGUAGGGUGCGAGCGUUAAUCGGAUUUACUGGGCGUAAAGCGUGCGCAGGCGGCCCGUUAAGACAGGUGUGAAAUCCCCGGGCUUAACCUGGGAACUGCGCUUGUGACUGCACAGCUAGAGUAUGGCAGAGGGGGGUGGAAUUCCACGUGUAGCAGUGAAAUGCGUGGAGAUGUGGAGGAACACCGAUGGCGAAGGCAGCCCCCUGGGCCAAUACUGACGCUCAUGCACGAAAGCGUGGGGAGCAAACAGGAUUAGAUACCCCAGUAGUCCCUGUCUCUUAUAC
RNAcentral lists this ribosomal RNA (301 nucleotides) under uncultured bacterium. RNAcentral's name for it is "partial 16S ribosomal RNA". It matches the Rfam family "Bacterial small subunit ribosomal RNA", at positions 509 to 807 of the family's 1533-position model. The record is from RNAcentral.